This 532-nucleotide ribosomal RNA is filed under the name uncultured bacterium. RNAcentral's name for it is "partial 16S ribosomal RNA". It matches the Rfam family "Bacterial small subunit ribosomal RNA", at positions 34 to 540 of the family's 1533-position model. The record is from RNAcentral.
AGUGAACGCUGGCGGUAGGCCUAACACAUGCAAGUCGAACGGCAGCACAGUAAGAGCUUGCUCUUACGGGUGGCGAGUGGCGGACGGGUGAGGAAUACAUCGGAAUCUACUUUUUCGUGGGGGAUAACGUAGGGAAACUUACGCUAAUACCGCAUACGACCUACGGGUGAAAGCAGGGGAUCUUCGGACCUUGCGCGAUUGAAUGAGCCGAUGUCGGAUUAGCUAGUUGGCGGGGUAAAGGCCCACCAAGGCGACGAUCCGUAGCUGGUCUGAGAGGAUGAUCCGCACAACUGCAACUAGAAACCGGUCCUGAGUCGAGCGCGAGGCAGCGGAGAGGAAAGUGAGGCAGUGGGCACAAGCUGGACCCAGCAAUGCGGGGUGGAGGAAGAUGGCCUCAGGGUUGUAAAAGCCUUAGAUAGGGAAAGAAAAGCAGCAGCUCAAGCCCCAGCUGUUCUGACGGUACACAAAGACAAAGCCCCGGCAACCUGCGUGCCAGAAGCCGCGUAAAAAGACAGAAGAGACACGUGGGAAC